UACGUAGGGUGCGAGCGUUAAUCGGAAUUACUGGGCGUAAAGCGUGCGCAGGCGGUUUUGUAAGCCAGAUGUGAAAUCCCCGGGCUUAACCUGGGAAUGGCAUUUGGGACUGCAAGGCUUGAGUGCGGCAGAGGAGACUAGAAUUCCUGGUGUAGCAGUGAAAUGCGUAGAUAUCAGGAGGAAUACCGAUGGCGAAGGCGGCAUCCUGGACCGGCAUUGACGCUGAGUGAGCGAAAGCUAGGGGAGCAAACGGG
This 254-nucleotide ribosomal RNA is filed under the name uncultured bacterium. RNAcentral describes it as "partial 16S ribosomal RNA". It matches the Rfam family "Bacterial small subunit ribosomal RNA", at positions 524 to 776 of the family's 1533-position model. The record is from RNAcentral.